This is a non-coding RNA of Dunaliella salina, 96 nucleotides long. Lineage: Eukaryota; Viridiplantae; Chlorophyta; Chlorophyceae; Chlamydomonadales; Dunaliellaceae. The record is from the annotation of a GenBank genome assembly.
GCUAGCGUGGCCAAGUGGUUGGCCAGCCUUCCCUUAUACCUCAACAAAAUGUCAGUCCCGGUGGAGGAGACGCGGGUUCGAGUCCCGGCGGAUGCA